Molecule: ribosomal RNA, 836 nt
Filed under: uncultured bacterium
Lineage: Bacteria
Description: bacterial SSU rRNA
Rfam family: Bacterial small subunit ribosomal RNA
Source: RNAcentral
AAUGAACGUUGGCGGCGUGGAUUAGGCAUGCAAGUCGAGGGAGAACCGCAAGGGGACACCGGCGAACGGGGUAGGAUCACGUAGGUGACGUACCCCCAGGGCGAGGAUAGCCACGGGAAACUGUGGGUAAUACUCGAUAACCUUCCCGAUCAUGAUCGAAUGGGAAGCAAUGGGUGAGACUCCACCUGGGGAGCGGCUUACGCAGUAUCAGCUAGUUGGUGAGGUAACGGCUCACCAAGGCUAUGACGCUUAGGGGGUGUGAGAGCAUGGCCCCCACCACUGGCACUGAGACACUGGCCAGACACCUACGGGUGGCUGCAGUCGAGAAUCUUCGGCAAUGGACGAAAGUCUGACCGAGCGACGCCGCGUGCGGGAUGAAGGUCUUCGGAUUGUAAACCGCUGUCAGAGGGGAUGAAGUAUACGAGAGCUAUCUCUUGUAUUUGACAGAGCCUCAGAGGAAGCACGGGCUAAGUUCGUGCCAGCAGCCGCGGUAAUACGAACUGUGCGAACGUUAUUCGGAAUCACUGGGCUUAAAGGGUGCGUAGGCGGUUUUCUAAGUCAGGUGUGAAAUCUUCCGGCUCAACCGGAAAACUGCGCCUGAGACUGGAUAACUUGAGUGAGGUAGGGGUGUGUGGAACUUCCGGUGGAGCGGUGAAAUGUGUAGAGAUCGGAAGGAACGCCAGCAGCGAAAGCGGCACACUGGGCCUUGUCUGACGCUGAGGCACGAAAGCUAGGGGAGUGAACGGGAUUAGAUACCCCGGUAAUCCUAGCCGUAAACACUGAACACUGGAGGACGGGGGCUUCGGCCUUCGUUCUCGUAGCGAAAGCGUUAAGUG